This is a long non-coding RNA of Silurus meridionalis, 1796 nucleotides long. RefSeq lists it as uncharacterized. Lineage: Eukaryota; Metazoa; Chordata; Actinopteri; Siluriformes; Siluridae. The transcript has 4 exons. The record is from RefSeq and is a predicted model, not a curated record.
UAGUGGAACAUCUUCCCGGAAAAGUGGAGGUUACUAUAACAGCAAAUGGGGACUCAAAGUGGAAUUGAACAUUCGAAAAGCACAUGCCUGUCUUACUCGGGUGCAAAACGUAAAAUAUAUUAGAAAUAUAUACAAAUGAAGUAAAACGUUUUCUCAACCAGCCUGGAUGUGGAAUGUUUUUUUUUUUAAUACAUGCUCGGAAUUGAAUGCUAUUAGCAAUUAGCAUAAUCAGCAUCAGACGCUAAUGAGGAGAUUGUUUGUGUACCCUGAUUAUUUACCAAAAAAUGGUAGAUUUGCUUCCCUGUCAUUACAUAUGAUUACUAUUUUUAUUUGCUUCGUGGUUCUCGGCUAACAAAGUCCAGGAGAUGAAGAAGAAGGAGGAGGCCAAGCAGCAGGGCUGAGUGGAGGCUGUUUUUACGGCGGUUGCCGUGGCCAGCUGAGUGACGUGCGUGUGCACAUGCCGGUCCGUAUGCUGUGUGGUAGGAGACAGAACGGCUGCGGCCCCCUCUUCACUCGCAUCACACUAUUCCCAACAUGAACUUUCACGUUCCUUCAUCCACUCACUGAGUCACUGCAAGCAAGUCAUGCCUCCUUACACAAAAAACUUAUUUCUUUUGGAGAGGGGGGGCUGGAGAGAACAAGCUGAGGAAGUUUGACUCACUCCAAACUCCGGACUCUUCACAGAGUCAUUCAGAAGUCUCCGGAGUCAUCUCUCACGCCGUCUCGCUCCCGUGUGUAAACAGAAACCGCCGGAUCGUUAACAUCCCCUCGUGGCAGGCUAACCACAACCAUUUCAUACAUACUUCACGUGGUUGAGCGGCUGAAUCAGAGUCUGUCAGCCUGUUGCGGCUCGAAAAACCCAGGUCCCAGUGAGUCAGCGUCUCUCCAGCCCACCUACUAUGAGUCAGUCUCCCACUCGCCGGACAGCCUCGGCCAAUCGGAGGCCUCGCUUCUGUACCACUGUCGUCAGAGCCCCGGUGAUGAAGCUCGAGUCUCAUCUUGUCUGAUCCUGGAGCUCUGCUGAGACACAGAGACAGGAGACCAUUAUGGAUUAAGUCAAACUGGAUUGAGAUGUUCUCCCGGUUGUUCCAGAGUGAGAUGAUUCAUCAUCCCGAGAGGCUGAGUUCUCAUAUCUGAAGCUCUCAUCUCUGGUCUGCUUUUACCGCGAGGUAACGGAGCUUAAAUGGAGUUUAGCGCAACUCCAGCUCUGUAGAAAGUUCAAGAUUUGGGGUAAGAUCAGAAGCCUGUUUUUUGUUUUCAAGUCUUCCGGCUAGUUUCUGUUUUUGAUGGCAUUCCUGUAGAAUUAUUAAAACUUCGGUCUAAAAGCUUUUUUAAGCCCUAUGUCUUUAACCUCAGAGGUAUAAAGGCAGUGAUAUUUAACAUCACUCCAGUGCAUCAGAAAUCCAUUGAGAGACAAAUAGAGAAAUACAGUGAGAAAAAGAGUGGGGGAGGAGAGGACAUGAAGGUCCUACUCACACAGUAGCGGAAACCUGGGCAAAUCUCUCAGCUCUGAUUCAUCUCCUAUGGACAAUGUUGACGCUAAAAACUUCCUUCCUGCUUUGCUGAAACUCACAUUUAUCACCAGUAAAAAUAACAUUAGUCAUCAGCACAUAUGUCAGCGUUCAACUGUUGCCGAUUUUUUAAACCGGUGCUGAAAUUUCAUUGUGGAAUGUAUUGGGAUGGUAACGAUCAACAAAAAAAAUGAAGAAAUAAUAAUUAUAAAAAAAAUUAAUAAUCAAAAAUUGGAAGAAAUGAAGAUGAUGUGAGGUCCAGUUACCAGCAUGACACUAUAACAG